UACGUAAGAGACUAGUGUUAUUCAUCAUCAAUAGGUUUAAAGGGUACCCAAACGGAAGAAAUUACCUAAAAUAGGAAUAAUUUCUAUCUAGAGUUUAAUGUGAAAAGGUAGUAUCUAUGGAGUAUUUAUAGGGAUAAAAUCUGUUGAUACCUAUAUAGAGACUGGUAAUAGCGAAGGCAGCCUUUUAUGUAAAGACUGACGUUGAAGGACGAAAGCUAAGGGAAUAAACAGG
Molecule: ribosomal RNA, 232 nt
Filed under: uncultured organism
Description: partial 16S ribosomal RNA
Rfam family: Bacterial small subunit ribosomal RNA
Source: RNAcentral